GUAUAGCUCAGUGGUAGAAUACUUGUCUAGCAAGCAUGAGGUCCUGAGUUCAAAUCUUAGUAC
Molecule: transfer RNA, 63 nt
Filed under: Dipodomys ordii (Ord's kangaroo rat)
Lineage: Eukaryota; Metazoa; Chordata; Mammalia; Rodentia; Heteromyidae
Rfam family: tRNA
About the family: Transfer RNA (tRNA) molecules are approximately 80 nucleotides in length.
Source: Rfam by way of RNAcentral